This 95-nucleotide ribosomal RNA is filed under the name uncultured eukaryote. Its description in RNAcentral is "partial small subunit ribosomal RNA". The record is from RNAcentral.
UCGCUCCUACCGAUUUCGAGUGAUCCGGUGAACCUUUUGGACGGCGCGCCCAGCGCGCGGGAAAUCAAGUAAACCAUAUCACUUAGAGGAAGGAG